This 252-nucleotide ribosomal RNA is filed under the name uncultured bacterium. RNAcentral describes it as "partial 16S ribosomal RNA". It matches the Rfam family "Bacterial small subunit ribosomal RNA", at positions 524 to 776 of the family's 1533-position model. The record is from RNAcentral.
UACGGAGGGUGCAAGCAUUAAUCGGAUUUAUUGGGCGUGAAGGGCGCGUAGGCGGGAAUGUAAGUCAGACGUGAAAUCCCGGGGCUCAACCCCGGAACAGCAUUGAAACUACAUUUCUUGAGGGUAGGAGGAGAAAACGGAAUUCCACAAGUAGCGGUGAAAUGCGUAGAUAUGUGGAAGAACACCGGUGGCGAAGGCGGUUUUCUAUCUUAUUCCUGACGCUAAAGCGCGAAAGCAAGGGGAUCAAACAGG